RNAcentral lists this long non-coding RNA (1487 nucleotides) under Homo sapiens (human). Its description in RNAcentral is "novel transcript". The record is from RNAcentral. Lineage: Eukaryota; Metazoa; Chordata; Mammalia; Primates; Hominidae.
ACCGGUGGCCGGGCGGGAUGUAACCCGCUGCUGAGCUGGCAGCUCUGUGUCGCUAGGCUUCGGCCCGGCCGCCGCCGCACAUAAGCUGCGAGGAGGAGCUUUACGACUUCCCGGUCUUCGGGGCCGGGCGCAGCAAGGGCCAGACUCUGCGCUAGCAGGCGCUGCGCGCCAACCGGCCGGCACCUGUCGCAGAAGGUGCAACCGAUCGCACUGUCGCGCCGAAGCUCCUCAAUGGCCAGCGCCAGCUGCAGCCCCGGCCGCCCACUCGCCUCACCUGAGCCUGGGAGCUUGAAAAAUCACAUUUGAGAAGAGGAUUGGAUCCUAGCCAUAACAUAAAUAUAAGGGUGGAACCAAAGUUUUAAUCAAAGAAGGUGGUGUUCAGUUGCUGCUUACAAUAGUUGAUACCCCAGGAUUUGGAGAUGCAGUGGAUAACAGUAAUUGCUGGCAGCCUGUUAUCAAUUACAUUGAUAUUAAAUUUGAGGACUACCUAAAUGCAGAAUCGCGAGUGAACAGAUGUCAGAUGCCUGGUAACAGGGUGCAGUGUUGUUUAUACUUCAUUGCUCCUUCAGGACAUGGACCAUUACAUAACUGAAGACUCCCACCUUCAGGCAGGAUUGGGUAGUACGUGUUUGUAACUACCUGGCAUUGCCUUUUGUUGAGGAAGGGUAGAUGUCUACCCAAAUGGAAUAUUGAGUAUCAGAGACUUCAAAUGAUAACUUUUGUUUGUUUGGAGAAAAUCUUGAGGACGUGAUCACUGUACAAAAGCAUGGCAAAAUGAGGAAACCACUGACAGGUGAAGAAUUUGCACAAUGGAAAACCACCUUGACCAUCUCAUGACUUUAUACAGGAAUCGGAGGAAAAAGAGUCAUUUUGUACUCUCUUAUCUAUAACCAUGUCUCACUUCAAGUCAAUGCUACAAUUGUCACUUUUAUUUUGAAAAGGAAGCUCAGAAGGAAAAAAACUCUUAGAGAGAUCUUCUAACAGAACAUUUUUCUUCACUGAUAGACAUCCAAGGCCAUUCCAUUUCUAAAUCACACUUAUCCCUCAAUCAAGUCAGUGACUGGAUCAUCUCCUAAGGUUUCACCUGCUUUGCAUCAGGUAGGUGAGAUGAAAGUGAUUUUAUGGGUAGCUUUCAGAAAAAUGUACUGCACUGAAGUGACAAAGUUCUGUCUUGCCUGUUCUCUCACAAAACAGCAUAUCAAUUAAAUAAUGUUUUCUUUACAAUACAGUUUCAUAGGACUUUCCAUUUGUUUCAGAGUGCCUUAACUUUUUAAAAAAAGACACUGUUAACAAAUACAAUUAUUUCUCUUAAAAUCCACUCAGCCAGCAUUUUUCACUAUCCUAUAAAGGCUUUAAAUGUCACAGAAUGUAUGAUAAUUUGCUCCUAACCUACUUUUGAAAAAGGAAAGAUUCCAAACAUUCUUGAAAAAAUGGUAAUUCAGAAAACACAAAAACCAAUUAUUUAAAAUAAUCCCCAAGCAAAAAAA